CCUACGGGUGGCUGCAGUGGGGAAUAUUGCACAAUGGGGGGAACCCUGAUGCAGCGACGCCGCGUGAGUGAAGAAGUAUUUCGGUAUGUAAAGCUCUAUCAGCAGGGAAGAAAAUGACCGUAACUGACCAAGAAGCCCCUGCCAACGACGGGCCAGCAACCGCGGUAAUACGUAGGGGGCAAGCGUUAUCCGGAUGUACUGGGUGUAAAGGGAGCGUAGACGGUAGAGCAAGUCAGAAGUGAAAGCCCGCGGCCCAACUGCGGGACUGCUUUGGAAACUGGCCGGCUAGAGUGCUGGAGAGGUAAGCGGAAUUCCAAGUGUAGCGGUGAAAUGCGUAGAUAUUAGGAGGAACACCAGUGGCGAAGGCGACUUACUGGAAAGUAACGGACGUUGAGGAUCGAAAGCGUGGGGAGCAAACAGGAUUAGAUACCCGUGUAGUC
RNAcentral lists this ribosomal RNA (440 nucleotides) under uncultured bacterium. Its description in RNAcentral is "partial 16S ribosomal RNA". It matches the Rfam family "Bacterial small subunit ribosomal RNA", at positions 338 to 795 of the family's 1533-position model. The record is from RNAcentral.